Molecule: ribosomal RNA, 497 nt
Filed under: uncultured bacterium
Lineage: Bacteria
Description: partial 16S ribosomal RNA
Rfam family: Bacterial small subunit ribosomal RNA
Source: RNAcentral
GAUGAACGCUGGCGGCGUGCCUAAUACAUGCAAGUCGAGCGAACGGACGAGAAGCUUGCUUCUCUGAUGUUAGCGGCGGACGGGUGAGUAACACGUGGAUAACCUACCUAUAAGACUGGGAUAACUUCGGGAAACCGGAGCUAAUACCGGAUAAUAUUUUGAAACGCAUGGUUCAAAAGUGAAAGACGGUCUUGCUGUCACUUAUAGAUGGAUCCGCGCUGCAUUAGCUAGUUGGUAAGGUAACGGCUUACCAAGGCAACGAUGCAUAGCCGACCUGAGAGGGUGAUCGGCCCAACUGGAACUGAGACAGGGUCCAGACUCCUACGGGAGGAAGCAGUAGGGAAUCUUCCGAAAUGGGCGAAAGCCUGACGGAGCAACGCCGCGUGAGUGAUGAAGGUCUUCGGAUCGUAAAACUCUGUUAUUAGGGAAGAACAUAUGUGUAAGUAACUGUGCACAUCUUGACGGUACCUAAUCAGAAAGCCACGGCUAACUACGUG